UUUUGUCAGCCUGUGCACUGAAAUGUUAUGAUUGCAUAGGGGAAUCCUCUGAAAACUGCAAUAAGAUAACAGAAUGUUCUUUCAGUACUCAGUGUGCUUCAAUCAGACAGAUUACAUAUGCAGGUGGUUCAAAAGUUGAUCUCACAGUGAAAACUUGUGCUGGAUUUUGUGAUGAGGGCUCUUUCAGCACUGGAGUCGGCAGGAACUUUUUCACCACCAAGUGUUGCAGUUCUGGCCUUCUCUGUUGGCAAUAUCGUCUCUCUGAACGGAAAAAAGUGUUUCUACUGUGAUCAACAAAAUUGCAAAAAAAACGCAUAACUGCUACAAAAAUGAGGACUUCUGCUUCUCAGCAACAGUGAAUUCAGAAGGGGCACAGGCAACUGCAAAGGGCUGCAUCUCCAAGUUUUUUUGCCAAAAGCCAAAAACUGUAUUUGAGAAAGGAUUCAUUCGAGAACUUAACUGCUGCCAGGGUGACUUCUGCAACAGCGCCAGCAGUACAAGUGCAAGUUUUCUGCUCUUGGUGGCAUUGCUAAUCUCUACUAAUCUGUUGUCUUAAUGUUUUUUUCUCAUAUUCAAACUGCUUCCAGCCGUUUCUCCAGAACCCACAGAUGAUUUAAAGUUUAGUGAGAAAAUUACUAAAUAUGAUUAAUAUUUGUGUCCUUCGUCAAAAUGUUCAAAAUCUGUUUUUAAAAAAAUAUUGCCUGUAAAUGUUCUCUUGUAUGUAGUAAUAAAUUGCCUUUUAUG
Oreochromis niloticus (Nile tilapia) is the source of this 744-nucleotide long non-coding RNA. RefSeq lists it as uncharacterized. The transcript is spliced from 4 exons. The record is from RefSeq and is a predicted model, not a curated record. NCBI's taxonomy places the organism in Eukaryota, Metazoa, Chordata, Actinopteri, Cichliformes, Cichlidae.